GUCUGUGUCGCCCCUCGCAGUUGUCCACUCAUAGAUAAUUCUUUCCAAUUCAUUGGUGCUGUCUUCAAAUGGUUCAUUUUACAAGGACAAAGCACUUUGAAGGGUCCAGAAUUAAAAUGUCACGCAAGACUUCGGUGAAUUACUACUGUAUUCAUAGCUGCCUAUUUAAAGACAAUUUAAAAUAGGAAUCCAUAGUAGGCUUUGGUACUGGCUGCUACCUCGGGACCAAAGCCCAUUUCGGAACCCUCAGCAGAGAUCAGACAUAUACAGAAGCACAGAGUAUGGUUGAUCAGAUUGGGCACUUGCAAUGUAUUUGAAGAUCAAACGAGAAGGCAAAACAAGAACAGUACUGGAAGGCAAGAAGAAAAUUUUUAGACGCAGGAAACAAAGCAAGGAGUCAUACCAGAAGCCAGAAAUGACAAUAUAAAAAAUAAGAGGGCACAAUGAGUGUUUCUAGAGUUUUUGCUGCAUGGGUUGAAAAAUAAAAUGUUACCCUA
This is a long non-coding RNA of Bufo gargarizans (Asiatic toad), 497 nucleotides long. RefSeq lists it as uncharacterized. The record is from RefSeq and is a predicted model, not a curated record. NCBI's taxonomy places the organism in Eukaryota, Metazoa, Chordata, Amphibia, Anura, Bufonidae. The transcript has 3 exons.